Molecule: ribosomal RNA, 790 nt
Filed under: Lactiplantibacillus plantarum
Lineage: Bacteria; Bacillati; Bacillota; Bacilli; Lactobacillales; Lactobacillaceae
Description: bacterial SSU rRNA
Rfam family: Bacterial small subunit ribosomal RNA
Source: RNAcentral
CGAACUCUGGUAUUGAUUGGUGCUUGCAUCAUGAUUUACAUUUGAGUGAGUGGCGAACUGGUGAGUAACACGUGGGAAACCUGCCCAGAAGCGGGGGAUAACACCUGGAAACAGAUGCUAAUACCGCAUAACAACUUGGACCGCAUGGUCCGAGCUUGAAAGAUGGCUUCGGCUAUCACUUUUGGAUGGUCCCGCGGCGUAUUAGCUAGAUGGUGGGGUAACGGCUCACCAUGGCAAUGAUACGUAGCCGACCUGAGAGGGUAAUCGGCCACAUUGGGACUGAGACACGGCCCAAACUCCUACGGGAGGCAGCAGUAGGGAAUCUUCCACAAUGGACGAAAGUCUGAUGGAGCAACGCCGCGUGAGUGAAGAAGGGUUUCGGCUCGUAAAACUCUGUUGUUAAAGAAGAACAUAUCUGAGAGUAACUGUUCAGGUAUUGACGGUAUUUAACCAGAAAGCCACGGCUAACUACGUGCCAGCAGCCGCGGUAAUACGUAGGUGGCAAGCGUUGUCCGGAUUUAUUGGGCGUAAAGCGAGCGCAGGCGGUUUUUUAAGUCUGAUGUGAAAGCCUUCGGCUCAACCGAAGAAGUGCAUCGGAAACUGGGAAACUUGAGUGCAGAAGAGGACAGUGGAACUCCAUGUGUAGCGGUGAAAUGCGUAGAUAUAUGGAAGAACACCAGUGGCGAAAGCGGCUGUCUGGUCUGUAACUGACGCUGAGGCUCGAAAGUAUGGGUAGCAAACAGGAUUAGAUACCCUGGUAGUCCAUACCGUAAACGAUGAAUGCUAAGUG